AACCCUAAUCAAGGAUUUGCAAUUUGCAUUAAUUUCUCUUCUCCCUUCUCUAUAUAAGAAAGAGACGAUGAUGAUUUGCCCUCCUCCUCGGCGAGAUCUAGGGUUUUUCCUCCGAUCGGUCUGUUUGGGGUGCAAACGGAUCGGAUACGACUUGGAUAUGAUGCUUACCGUAUCCAUGUACGGAUAUGAAUAUGUUUCGGUAAGGAACACUCAUAUCGUGUCCGCCAAAUUGGAUACAGUUAUGGAUAUAUGUGCAGAUAUAUCUUUGAAUAUACAUGCAGAUUCAAAACGAAUAUCAAGAAAAUUAUAUGAGGUUGGAAAAAACAUAAUUCAUAUGAUAGUGAGUCCAUUAAUAAGUUUAUUAGAUGAAAAGCUAAGAUUAGAUCUCGAGAUCAUCAAAUUAACUUCAAAUUCAUCAACCAAAGGAUCAAAGCAAUCACAACUAUAUGAUCAACAUAAAUUUGGAUAUUUCAGUUAUGGAUCUGGAUAUUUCACUUUAUAACCGCAUCCGUAAUCAUAUAUCGGAUAUUUCAGUUAUGAGAUCUAGGAAUCUUUUUUCCUAUGGGGCUGUUUGGUUUUUUUUUUCUAAUAUCCCAAUCUGCUUUCAGUAUUUUUUGGGUUUUUUUUUGCUUAUAUACCCCUCAAAUCUAUAAUAUUUCAAAAUUUUCCUUUCUAAAUCUGCAUGUAUUACCAAUGGUGAGGCAUUUUUGCAGCCAUUUUGGUGUUUUCUGCAGAUCAAAAAGGCGGGAGAGAUGGACUUAGGUUGAGGGUUUGGGUUUAUUUCCCUUUGGUAUGUCUGAUUAAAGGUCUGGUCUGAGUCUCUAAUCAUGGAUUGAAGAAAUAUAUGCGUGUUUGAACACAGUAGAAUUUGUGGCUCGUUCAGGAUGUUCACACUAUUUUUCUAUGAUUUCCCACAUGAAAGGAUAAAAAACAAACAUAAUUGCGGUUUUUGUGCAUAAAUGAGGUAAAUUUUUAUGUUCUACAAUGUUGGCUAAUUUGACAUUUAGCAAUUUUGCUGCAGGCAGUGAUCUGCCCAAGGAAAAUGAUCGGAGUAAGAUGAUUAGUCCUCAAGAAGCUUGUUAAUUUUUACAUACUACAGUGCAAGGUAGUGAUCUGACCUAGGAAAAUGAUUGGGGUUAGGUGAUUAGUUCUCAAGAAGCUUGGUAAUUAAUAUGCUACGGAGGCAAGGCAACUUGGAUGAUUUGCUAUAUUGCCAUUUUUGCUCUCAUGAGUAUGAAACUUUUCUCUUACAUCCUACUGCGGCAAGGAUUUGGGGUGUUGCAGAUAACUCUCUCUCUCUGAACCUUUUCUCUUGCAUCCUACUGCGGCAAGGCAAUUGUGGAUGGUUUGCUGACAGUGCAAGCAACCAUUUGUUACUAUUUCAUGAAUAAUUUGUGUCAGUUUGGCGCAAAAGACUCCUAAGUUAAUGGUGGUCAUUUAUUUCUUUAUUUUAUGAUGAUUUUUCUUGCUUUGAGUGAUUUUAUGAUGAUUUUCUUGCUUUGAAUGAUGCCUUUCUGCGGGUAGAAAACUCCUUUAGGAUAUGUUUAGCUUCUUUCCUUCUUUUAAGUUUAGUAUUCUGAUAUUGGUCCCCCAAGUCUUGCUUAUUUUUCUGUCUCCAAGACGAUGAUGAUUCACCCUCUCAGUUGAGAAAGAAAUCAGGGAAAGUAUCAACCUGAGAAUCGGUGUAGUACAACAUGCCUUAAUUCCUAUUUUAACAAUGUAGUUUCCACAAACUCAAAACGUUUUUGUAAACUACGUGGUUAAAACAAGAGAGCAUAUUUUUUUUGUUGAACUUCCCUUUUGUAAACCGUAUUUUGGGGGUUUAUCUGCAAUUAACCCCUUUUUUUUACCACAGUUUCAACAAACUGGAACCGAUUGUUGUUCCUUCGGACUUUAUGCAUUUCUCGUGUAAUGGCGAGGUAGGCUUGGCUGCUCUGCUACUUGCAGACUAUGUAUGCUUGCUACCAUACCUCAUAUCUGAUUAGAAGGGCUGAUCUGAGUCUUCUUUUUCCCCCUUUCUUUUCUUUUCUUUUCAACUUCUGAAUUGUUGCUCAUAAAGAGCCCCAAACUCUGUUCUUUAUUUUUUCUUUUCUUUUUUUGGGUGUGCCUUUCAAUGUGGUGCCCAAGUGUUAGUUGCAUUGUAUUUCUCUGCAGAUAAGAGGUGACAUUAGUGUUUUAUUCUGCUAAUUUGCUUUGCUUCCCUCCUUUUAAAGAAUUAAGUAAAUAUGGUUUUCCCAAUGAAAUUUUUUGUUGGAACAUGGUUGGUUCUUAUGGAAACUUUGUUUUGCAUAUUUAUUCAUUUAACCUUUUGCUAUGUGUAUAUUGCAAUGGCUGGGCAGUCCUGGAUGGUCUGCUACAUUGCAGGCAUCAAUUGAAACCAUUCAUUGAUAUGGAGGAUAUACUUUCCUGGGGGCUCAUAACAGUUUUGAUGAUUUUGGGGCUAAUUUUAAAAUUACUUGUGAUUUUGAGGGGUAUAUAUGGAAACAACCCUUUAUUUGGUUGCACAAACUGCGUAACUUGACAAAGAACCAAUAAAAAAAGCCCUUUAUGCAUUUGUUGCACAAACUGCAUAAUUCAACCAAAAAAAACGAGUUAAAAAAAAUCUAUGCUGUCCUCUAUAUUGAUGGUUUUCCCAAGGUCUUCUCUCUUAUUGCCUUCAUCAAAGCGCAAGAUGAGAUAAAAGAAACAUAUAGAGGGUUUUCUAUAGAAAACAUUGCGUAUUAGCCCCUCAAAUCUUAUUUCUCUUCUUCCUUCUGAGAGGUGACAAUGAUUUGGCCUCUUUGACGAGAUAUUUGUUUUGGUGUAAAUCUUUUCAGGCUGUCACCUACUUUUUAUCCCCAAUGGCGAGGCAGUUUUCCAGCCAUUUUGGUAUUUUCUGUAGAUUUUUAAUGAUUGCCUCUCAAAUCAUCACAUCUACAAAUCAACCCCAAAAUCAACACAUGGCAAAUACUGUUGCAAGCAUUGAGUAAGCGUGUAUACUCUGGCUGAAUGAAAAAAGAGAGGAGAUACAAGACUUUGGUUGUGCCUGAGGAUUCUAACUGCUGCUGCUAUUAUCAAUUCUCCUUUCUAGGCUGAGGCAAAGAGGUUGGAGGUGGGAAAGGACAUCCCCGUACAGGGUUAACAAGUUCAAAUCGUGAGAGUUCAAAUAAGAAGCUGCCAGCGAACUAUUUGGAGUCGCAGAUUCUUCGAAGCAUCAGGAGAGAUGACUCGCCGUGACCUUUCUCUGAGCCGUGACUCUUACAUGGCGAUAUAUAUAUUUGAGAAAGAUCAUUGGUUUUGCAUGUUGAGAGGAACUCUCUCUCGAUAUUUAUGGAUGAAGUGUGCGUAAAGUGAUGUACCAUUUUCAGUGACAGCUCUAUGGUUCUGGAACUAAAACAUGCUCGUCCUGACUCUUCUAGUAUAUAUAUUUGUUAUAUGUUACACGGUGAUAUAGUAUUAGAGUCUUGCGCUUGUCUAUUGAUUUUGUUAUUUAGUGAUUUAUCUAAGUUA
Long non-coding RNA from Asparagus officinalis (garden asparagus), 3489 nucleotides. RefSeq lists it as uncharacterized. The record is from RefSeq and is a predicted model, not a curated record. The transcript is spliced from 6 exons. Lineage: Eukaryota; Viridiplantae; Streptophyta; Magnoliopsida; Asparagales; Asparagaceae.